AGCUCUCCGAGUGGUGGGGAUGUUUAUUGGGCCUAAAGCAUUCGUAGCCUGCUGGGCAAGUCCUCCGUUAAAUCCAACGAUUCAAUCGUUGGGCCGCGGGGGAUACUGUUCGGCUAGGGGGCGGAAGAGGUCGACGGUAUUCUCGGGGUAGGGGUGAAAUCCUAUAAUCCCGGGAGGACCACCAGUGGCGAAGGCUGUCGUCUAGAACGCGCCCGACGGUGAGGGAUGAAAGCUGGGGGAGCGAACCGGAUUAGAUACCCGAGUAGUCC
This 269-nucleotide ribosomal RNA is filed under the name uncultured archaeon. RNAcentral's name for it is "partial 16S ribosomal RNA". It matches the Rfam family "Archaeal small subunit ribosomal RNA", at positions 478 to 747 of the family's 1478-position model. The record is from RNAcentral.